RNAcentral lists this ribosomal RNA (433 nucleotides) under uncultured bacterium. RNAcentral's name for it is "partial 16S ribosomal RNA". It matches the Rfam family "Bacterial small subunit ribosomal RNA", at positions 29 to 507 of the family's 1533-position model. The record is from RNAcentral.
AACGAACGCUGGCGGCAUGCCUAACACAUGCAAGUCGAACGAGACCUUCGGGUCUAGUGGCGCACGGGUGCGUAACGCGUGGGAACCUGCCCUUAGGUUCGGCAUAACUCCCCGACAGGGGUGCUAAUACCGGAUAAUGUCUUCGGACCAAAGAUUUAUCGCCUUUGGAUGGGCCCGCGUUGGAUUAGCUAGUUGUUAGGGUAAAAGCCUACCAAGGCGACGAUCCAUAGCUGGUCUGAGAGGAUGAUCAGCCACACUGGGACUGAGACACGGCCCAGACUCCUACGCGAGGCAGCAGUGGGGAAUAUUGGACAAUGGGCGAAAGCCUGAUCCAGCAAGGCCGCGUGAGUGAUGAAGGCCUUAGGGUUGUAAAGCUCUUUUACCCGGGAUGAUAAUGACAGUACCGGGAGAAUAAGCUCCGGCUAACUCCGUG